This 337-nucleotide ribosomal RNA is filed under the name uncultured Pseudomonadota bacterium. RNAcentral describes it as "bacterial SSU rRNA". It matches the Rfam family "Bacterial small subunit ribosomal RNA", at positions 29 to 351 of the family's 1533-position model. The record is from RNAcentral. Lineage: Bacteria; Pseudomonadati; Pseudomonadota.
AACGAACGCUGGCGGCGUGCUUAACACAUGCAAGUCGAACGCGAAAGGGACUUCGGUCCUGAGUAAAGUGGCGCACGGGUGAGUAACGCGUGGAUAAUCUACCCAAUGAUCUGGGAUAACAUUUCGAAAGGGGUGCUAAUACCGGAUAAGACCACGGGAUCUCUGGAUUCUGCGGUAAAAGGUGGGGACCUUCGGGCCUACCGUCAUCGGAUGAGUCCGCGUACCAUUAGCUAGUUGGUGGGGUAACGGCCCACCAAGGCUAGGACGGUUAGCUGGUCUGAGAGGACGACCAGCCACACUGGAACUGAGACACGGUCCAGACUCCUACGGGUGGCAG